UUUAAGCAACAAUGAGUUUUUCGUCUAACUUUGGUCGUCCAUCUUAUUUAAAAAUAUUUUAUAAUUAGUAUUUUUAUUAUUAUGAGAUGAUGAAAUAUAAAUAGUACCUAUGACUUAUGUUUUUAAUUUUUUUUCAAUUUUUUUAAUUAAGACAGAUGAUCAAAAUUAAGCACGGAAAAUUAUGGUAGAAGUACUC
This 196-nucleotide microRNA precursor is filed under the name Oryza rufipogon (brownbeard rice). RNAcentral describes it as "MIR812 microRNA precursor family". It matches the Rfam family "MIR812 microRNA precursor family". Lineage: Eukaryota; Viridiplantae; Streptophyta; Magnoliopsida; Poales; Poaceae. The record is from Rfam by way of RNAcentral.